RNAcentral lists this small RNA (278 nucleotides) under Drosophila erecta. RNAcentral's name for it is "GG27092". The record is from RNAcentral. Lineage: Eukaryota; Metazoa; Arthropoda; Insecta; Diptera; Drosophilidae.
CGCCUGCGAGAGCGCCUGUCCGCGAUUCAGCGACUGUGACCGCUGGUUGUGCCGGUGGUUGUGGUAGCGACUCGAUCGCUCGAUUUGACCCAGAGGGCGACACACACGGACACCUGUUUGUUGUUUCCUAUGAAUCGGUUUUGGCCAUUCAGUUGCCGGCUUCAAAGCGAUACGAAUUGCGGUUUACGGAUCGGGGCUGACGAGGUCUUGAAAUAGCCAAAACAACAUCACAAAUGCACGCCGCAAACUCAACUGACUGGCACUCGCAAGAAAAUCGA